CUUUGUGCUGGGAGCCCUGCCCCAAGCGGGAACUAUGCUGAUGCCUGCUCAAGUUGUUCUCUGGGUAUGCUGGCUUCUUGCCCUGCCUGACAGCUGCAGGAGUUCUGUAAGAAAUCCGAGGGAGAAUUUCCUUUGCAGCCAUGACUGAGAACCCAGGAUCAAGAGCUUUGCAGACAGAAAAGACAUUACCCUUCAAAUAUCCCAAGUCAUCUAUUAGAGUCAACAAGCAGCCGGCAAAAAGCAGGACAGCUGGCUGUCCAGCCCUGGUUGGAGAAAAUGUGUUCCACUGAGAACUAGCCAGUUGAAUUUUUCUUUACUGACUGAGAGUGAAUGAGCAGAGGCAUUUUAAAGGUGUGUUGCAUGUGAAGAGCUCUAGGCCGUGUCCUGAGCUUGGUGUUCUGGAUACUCCUCCUCAUACCGUUUCAUCCCCAACAGUCAACACACAUUUUCACUUCUCCAUUUUGUGUAACUGAUGGUGCUCCUGGUUAAAGUCUUCCAAAGGAUUCCUACUGCAUUUUAAUAUAAUUUAAAUUUCUUAUAGUGGCCUACAAGGACCAAUAGGUUCUGGCCCCUGCCUAGUCUCCAGUUUUGUCUCUGUAUGUUUUCUUUCAAUACGUAGAUUCAGAUCUUCUCUUAUUUCUAGGUAUUUUUCUUGGACUAUAAUUUUAAAGAUUAGUUCUGUUUUAACGCUUUGUUUUUAUUCAUCAUGGACUCUCAAUUAUCCAUAUGUUGGACCUUCUAUGCCUGUCUCCUUUAUUUACUGCUCUGAAUCAACUAUAAAUAAGUGGAUAUCACUUCAACUCAAGCAUGUACUGAGUGUGUAAUAGUAUGCUAAUAUGUACCUCAGUCAGAGACACAAAAACCAAAAACCAAAAAAAGAGUUAAAUAUGUUGUAUUUUGUUUUCUAUGAGCUGUUAAUCUAUAUAUGCAGGCAACUCACAGAGAAAAAAUAGCUUGAUAAGAAG
Molecule: long non-coding RNA, 965 nt
Organism: Equus caballus (horse)
Lineage: Eukaryota; Metazoa; Chordata; Mammalia; Perissodactyla; Equidae
Source: RefSeq, a predicted model, not a curated record